GACGAACGCUGGCGGCGUGCUUAACACAUGCAAGUCGAACGGAAAGGCCCUGCUUUUGUGGGGUGCUCGAGUGGCGAACGGGUGAGUAACACGUGAGUAACCUGCCCUUGACUUUGGGAUAACUUCAGGAAACUGGGGCUAAUACCGGAUAGGAGCUCCUGCUGCAUGGUGGGGGUUGGAAAGUUUCGGCGGUUGGGGAUGGACUCGCGGCUUAUCAGCUUGUUGGUGGGGUAGUGGCUUACCAAGGCUUUGACGGGUAGCCGGCCUGAGAGGGUGGCCGGCCACAGUGGGACUGAGAGACGGCCCAGACUCCUACGGGAGGCAGCAGUGGGGAAUAUUGCACAAUGGGCGGAAGCCUGAUGCAGCAACGCCGCGUGCGGGAUGACGGCCUUCGGGUUGUAAACCGCUUUCGCCUGUGACGAAGCGUGAGUGACGGUAAUGGGUAAAGAAGCACCGGCUAACUACGUG
This 468-nucleotide ribosomal RNA is filed under the name uncultured bacterium. RNAcentral describes it as "partial 16S ribosomal RNA". It matches the Rfam family "Bacterial small subunit ribosomal RNA", at positions 28 to 507 of the family's 1533-position model. The record is from RNAcentral.